RNAcentral lists this ribosomal RNA (598 nucleotides) under Salmonella enterica subsp. enterica serovar Senftenberg str. CFSAN004042. RNAcentral describes it as "partial 23S ribosomal RNA". It matches the Rfam family "Bacterial large subunit ribosomal RNA", at positions 1 to 625 of the family's 2925-position model. Lineage: Bacteria; Pseudomonadati; Pseudomonadota; Gammaproteobacteria; Enterobacterales; Enterobacteriaceae. The record is from RNAcentral.
GGUUAAGCGACUAAGCGUACACGGUGGAUGCCCUGGCAGUCAGAGGCGAUGAAGGGCGUGCUAAUCUGCGAUAAGCGCCGGUAAGGUGAUAUGAACCGUUAUAACCGGCGAUACCCGAAUGGGGAAACCCAGUGUGAUUCGUCACACUAUCAUUAACUGAAUCCAUAGGUUAAUGAGGCGAACCGGGGGAACUGAAACAUCUAAGUACCCCGAGGAAAAGAAAUCAACCGAGAUUCCCCCAGUAGCGGCGAGCGAACGGGGAGGAGCCCAGAGCCUGAAUCAGCAUGUGUGUUAGUGGAAGCGUCUGGAAAGGCGCGCGAUACAGGGUGACAGCCCCGUACACAAAAGCGCAUGUGCUGUGAGCUCGAUGAGUAGGGCGGGACACGUGGUAUCCUGUCUGAAUAUGGGGGGACCAUCCUCCAAGGCUAAAUACUCCUGACUGACCGAUAGUGAACCAGUACCGUGAGGGAAAGGCGAAAAGAACCCCGGCGAGGGGAGUGAAAAAGAACCUGAAACCGUGUACGUACAAGCAGUGGGAGCCCCACCACUAAGCCAGUGGUGAACUCCACAUACGCAUCCUUUGCUGAGGAUACGGUUA